CGCCUGGGGAGUACGGCCGCAAGGUUAAAACUCAAAUGAAUUGACGGGGGCCCGCACAAGCGGUGGAGCAUGUGGUUUAAUUCGACGCAACGCGAAGAACCUUACCUGGCCUUGACAUCCAGAGAGCUUUCCAGAGAUGGAUUGGUGCCUUCGGGAACUCUGAGACAGGUGCUGCAUGGCCGUCGUCAGCUCGUGUCGUGAGAUGUUGGGUUAAGUCCCGUAACGAGCGCAACCCCUAUCCCUGGUUGCUAGCAGGUAAUGCUGAGAACUCCAGGGAGACUGCCGGUGACAAACCGGAGGAAGGUGGGGAUGACGUCAGGUCAUCAUGGCCCUUACGGCCAGGGCUACACACGUGCUACAAUGGCGCGUACAGAGGGCUGCCAACUCGCGAGAGUGAGCCAAUCCCUUAAAACGCGUCGUAGUCCGGAUCGGAGUCUGCAACUCGACUCCGUGAAGUCGGAAUCGCUAGUAAUCGCGAAUCAGAAUGUCGCGGUGAAUACGUUCCCGGGCCUUGUACACACCGCCCGUCACACCAUGGGAGUGGAUUGCACCAGAAGUAGUUAGUCUAACCUUCGGGGAGGACGAUUACCACGGUGUGGUUCAUGACUGGGGGUGAAGUCGUAACAAGGUAACCGUA
This 637-nucleotide ribosomal RNA is filed under the name uncultured Marinobacter sp. Its description in RNAcentral is "bacterial SSU rRNA". It matches the Rfam family "Bacterial small subunit ribosomal RNA", at positions 870 to 1504 of the family's 1533-position model. The record is from RNAcentral. Lineage: Bacteria; Pseudomonadati; Pseudomonadota; Gammaproteobacteria; Pseudomonadales; Marinobacteraceae.